UGGACCUACGGGAGGCAGCAGUGGGGAAUAUUGCUCAAUUUGCUAAAUCCUGACGCAGCGACGCCGCGUGAGGGAUGAAGGUCUUCGGAUCGUAAACCUCUGUCAGCAGGGAAGAACGGUCACUGUGCUAAUCAGCAGUGAAUUGACGGUACCUGCAAAGGAAGCACCGGCUAACUCCGUGCCAGCAGCCGCGGUAAUACGGAGGGUGCGAGCGUUAAUCGGAAUUACUGGGCGUAAAGCGCUCGUAGGCGGUAUGUCAAGUCAAGGGUGAAAUCCCCGCGCUCAACGUGGGAACUGCCUUUGAA
This 305-nucleotide ribosomal RNA is filed under the name uncultured bacterium. Its description in RNAcentral is "bacterial SSU rRNA". It matches the Rfam family "Bacterial small subunit ribosomal RNA", at positions 332 to 631 of the family's 1533-position model. The record is from RNAcentral.